Long non-coding RNA from Rhipicephalus microplus (southern cattle tick), 1215 nucleotides. RefSeq lists it as uncharacterized. The record is from RefSeq and is a predicted model, not a curated record. NCBI's taxonomy places the organism in Eukaryota, Metazoa, Arthropoda, Arachnida, Ixodida, Ixodidae.
GGUCCCGCUCGUCAAGACGACAACGGACCUGCGAGGGCGCUAGCAAUGCAGGAGAGGGCACAAGCCAUGAAGCUGUGGCGCAAGCGUGCAUGGAGCACCUUGAACACAUCAGAGCGAACAAGGGGGUCAUCAAAAAAGAUAACAUUGGUUUCUUCGCUCUACGUACCGAUGCACGCCUCAGAGAGCUACCAGUGCACAUUGCACAAGAUGUAAUGCAUGCAGUAGAACUUAUGCUGUAUGAAGCAGAGGCAAAAUUGCAUCAGAGCAGUGAAGCAAAUUGAAGUGUGUAAAUAAUGUCAAUGACACCCAUCUUUUUUUUUAUCUUGUGUUCACUUUUCUAGUCUCAACUUAAAGGGGUCAUGACUGGUCACUCAACAAUUGACGGUUGUCAGCAAAAAACAAAACUACAGAGUAAAAUGUGCUAGUACACGUGUGAAAAGGGGCCUUAAGAGUUCAUUUUAAUCAAAAAUAUGCCGUAGAAGUGCUCGACUCUUAAAACUAAACCUACCACAAGUGACCGCCAUUUUGUCAUGGCAUGCGAGACGUCACAAGCCGAAGGAGCAAUGGCAAAUGGUAUACGCAUUGCACAUUCACAGGACCCAUUUUGACAUCCGAAAUUAUUUGCUGCAAGUACCAGCGCUACAUUGCUGACACAGUAGCCAUGUUUCGACCCCUGGAAGUCAUUUAGCUUUAGUGGAGAGUUCAACAAUGCGAAAAAAUUUGAAUGCAAGCGCAGUUGAUGACGGAACACGACCGUCUGCCAGAAUGCACACUGUGCAGCAGCUUGUCGAGCAAGCGGUUCGUGAUGUCAGGGAUAGUGAGUGCGUCAGUAUUGCCCAACUCUCAGGCGACUAGCUCGUUUAUAAAAAUAUGCGAUUAAAAAUUGGCAGCUUGACCAAAUCGCUCGAAUUUUGCCAGCUUGUAUGUGAACAUACAAGAAUCAGCUCAUACAACACACAUUAUGGUUGAAAAUUGGGUGUCAUGACCCCCUUUAGGGCAACUUAUUUCUGUGAUAAUUGUAGUGAUAACCGUGCAAUAACUCAAAUAUUUUAACAUGAAUUAUUUAUUUUUGUGUUUUCAUGGUUAUAUUUGGACAUGACAGUUUUCCCUGUAAUGUAUCUGUUGUGUCACGGGUGAUUUUUCUCUUGUUUGUUUAGCUUAAGAAGAUGCUAUGUACAUAAGUUCUGUAAGCAAUAAAAUGCAUUUACAACCCAC